GCGGGUGUAGUUCAAUGGUAGAACGGCAGCCUUCCAAGCUGUUCACGGGAGUUCGAUUCUCCUCACCCGCUCCA
This 74-nucleotide transfer RNA is filed under the name Candidatus Omnitrophota bacterium. RNAcentral's name for it is "tRNA-Gly". It matches the Rfam family "tRNA". From Rfam's summary of the family: Transfer RNA (tRNA) molecules are approximately 80 nucleotides in length. Lineage: Bacteria; Pseudomonadati; Candidatus Omnitrophota. The record is from RNAcentral. RNAcentral also lists the same sequence under 1 other name.